UGGGGGAUAUUGCACAAUGGGCGAAAGCCUGAUGCAGCGACGCCGCGUGGGGGAUGAAGGCCUUCGGGUUGUAAACUUCUUUUGCUCUGAACAAGGCGCACCAUGGGGUGUGUUGAGUGUAGGGGUUGAUUAGCGCCGGCUAACUACGUGCCAGCAGCCGCGGUAAUACGUAGGGCGCGAGCGUUGUCCGGAAUUAUUGGGCGUAAAGGGCUUGUAGGUGGCUGGUUGCGUCUGUCGUGAAAGCUCAUGGCUUAACUGUGGGUUUGCGGUGGGUACGGGCUGGCUUGAGUGCAGUAGGGGAGGCUGGAAUUCCUGGUGUAGCGGUGGAAUGCGCAGAUAUCAGGAGGAUUACCGGUGGCGAAGGCGGGUCUCUGGGCUGUUACUGACACUGAGGAGCGAAAGCAUGGGGAGCGAACAGG
Molecule: ribosomal RNA, 419 nt
Filed under: bacterium
Lineage: Bacteria
Description: partial 16S ribosomal RNA
Rfam family: Bacterial small subunit ribosomal RNA
Source: RNAcentral